CAAAUAUUUAUGUCAUGAUUUGCCUGGAAGUGUUCUUGCUCUCUGUUCAGGAAAAGAUUUAGUGGAUUUUUUGUCCAACUGAGUCCCCAGGUCAGCAAUGAUGUGACCCACAAAAUCCUUUCACCUUUGCAAACUACAGUCAGCCCAACACAGGUUUUGUCCUGACCUAAAAUGCUGAAAUUUUGGGUAUUUCCUGACUCUGGCCAGCACAAUGAUGAACGUUGUGUAUUGCAAUGGAAAAGUGUCUAGUAGUGGUUACAGCUUCACAGUCAUCAUCUUAUUUGCAGUCCCUGUUAUAGGAAAACAAAAAAUCCUGGAAAGAAGUGGUGAUGAUUAAUCAUUCAUUCCCUCGAAGUAAAGUUGGAGAUGUGCUGUCCCCGAGAUUAAUUAAGCAUAAUUCACAUAUUUCUACAUAUUGAAAAGGACAGCUGUACUUUUAUGAGGCAUGGGUUAGAGUUCUUGUUCCAAGUAAAAAUGUGUAAACAUUUAUAUUUCAGAUUUAUGGACACAUUUUUAUUUUCAUAUUUUAUAUUGUAUAUUUUUCUGUAAGUAUAAUGACCUUCAGAGCUGGAGUGGAAAUCUAUUUAGCCUUAUGCUUAAUCCAGUCUUUCUUACAGGAUUUCAUAAGGAUGUGUUGGGAGCAGGGAAGCUGCAAGAAGAAAAUUUGUCCCUGUCAAAGUUUGGAGCAGGAAGAAAGUCAGAAUCCCAGAACAAUCUUCUCCUGCAGCACUCCACGUGUUAACACAAUGAAGCACUUUGUUUGCUUGUUGGUUUGUUUGUUCGUUUGAGUUUUCUUCUGCUAUCAUAUUUGAUACUUUGUUUGAAGGAAACAUGCAAGGUAUUCUAGUGGAGUCCAAAGGAGUUUUUUUCUCUACAAUGUGUUUGAUAUGUCAACAGAAAUUCCUCACCAAACAUCAGACCAAGGGAGCAGCUUUUCAUCACCUCAAACUUCUGUGGUAAAAUAACACAUGUGAUAUCAAAAAUAAUAUCAUAAUAAAUCUUGAAUAGGUAUCUAACACCCAAAUGCAUGUCAGAAGCUCUUUGCUGUUGUAUAUCUGUGGGAGGCUCCACCAGCUAUGCCUUGUACAUAGGGAAUGCAAAAAAAAGUCUGUGGUUACCCUUUCAUUUGUGCCCUCAGAAGAUAAGCAUCCAUAAAAAGCUCUUUGAUCCUCUGGAUUUAGAUAACAAUGUUGUAAUUAAUUAAUGAAUGGCUAUUUUUACAAUAUAAUUGACUUAUGUCCCCUUACCAGAGUCAGCUGAACACCAGUAUUUGCCAGCAGUCAAAAAUUAAUUUUGCAAAACGUUAGAAAGAUAUUCAGGUUUAUGUUGAAGGAUACUAAAAUUGUAUCUGUUUAUGGCUACAAAAUUCUUCUGUACUAUUUUUUUUUCAAACUGACUUAAUGUUAAUGUAGAGCUGAAUCUCCAGAAUUUUUCAAUAAACAUUUCAGAAUGUCAAAGAUAUUUGAAGUGAUGUCAUGGAACAACUUGACAUUUCUUAGCUCUAUAUGGAUUAAAACUGAGAUUAAUGUAAGGGAUGAAUCAAUAUGGACCAAACCAUUAAGUGUGCCUUAUAAAAAUUAAUCUGCUGAAAUUGAAAAUACACAUUUAAAGUCCUACUAGCUUAAAUUUUGCCUAAUGACAAUUCUAGCUGCUUCCAGAAAGGGAUAGUUAGUAGAUGAAAUCAGAAUUGAGUUUCAGAAUGUUGCAAUUGGAACCAAAAACACUGAGGAAAGGGAUUUGUGUGAAACAAGCCACUAAAAGAACCAAGGCACUGCAUAUCCCAACUCUUUAAAUUAUUAAGUAUUACAAAGGUGAGAAGUUAAUUAAUUAGACUCUCAAAAGAAACAAUAUAAUCUCACCAAACUCUUCACUCUGACAAUACUCCCACUGCACUAUCUUGUAAGAUAUUUCUUUUCAAGAGAAUAGUCAGCACUUAGACAAAAGUUUCUUUUAAAAAUAAAACUGAAAUCAACAAACUAAGGAUUUCAGGGCCAUGGAAAGUUAAAUAAAGCCUGAAGAGUUUACAAAUAUUAGCAGCAGUUAUUGUUUAAGAUAGUGGGAAAGGUUAAGGAAAACUAUAUGGAUGACAAAGAUAAAACCUUGCAUAAUUAAGAAACAAUUUGCAUAACCUGGUAACUAUUGAGAUCUGAUUUCUCUCUCGGUUUAUUUGGGUUUGUUUUUUCCCAGGUAUGACCUUGUUUUCGCCCCAAAAAAGCAAUUAUUGGAAUAAGUACUAGUGCAUGAGAAUGCUAACAGGACAGGUAAUGUUUGGUGGAGUAAAUAAUGGUUUCAUUUUGAGAAUCAUGACAGAUUUUAACUAAAUUCUAGAGUUACUCAAAUGUAUAUAAAAUGCUUUUUUAUAUAAACUUAACAUAUCCAAAUGAGGAAAAAUCUUAAAGCAAUUUGAUUGUUGUAUGCCUACUGUACUGAGAAGAACCUACAAGGUAUUAUUUGGAACCAAAGCAGGAGGGGUUUUUUUUGCACUCUUUUGGAGUCAGGAGUUUUGUAUUUUUACUCUUUAAAUAUAUGAUAUUUAUAGAAGUCCUCAAAUCCUUCUGGGUCACCCCAUGUUGAUCUGAGUCACAAGCAUCAGUGCAAACAAUAGUUUAUCCAAAAUUUAUAUUACUUCAAACUAGCACCAUUGAUCCUGACCCUAGGAGAGGCAGAAUUGGGACUAAAACUGACAAAGAAAUGGCAAUCUGGGCAAAACCUCUGGUGACCUGUGAAUGCAUAAGAUUUCCAGGUCAUUCUCUGUCUGUCAGAGCAAUAUAGAAACAUAGCUAUGGUUACAUAAUUGUUAUAGUGGUCACCUUAGGGUCUCUUUUAGAUAAAACUGAUGCAAGCUUUGCAGAUACAUUUCCUGAUUAAACACACAUAAAGUCUCUUGAAGUUCGGGAUUUCAAAAAAAUCUUUAACAUUUUAGGUUUUCAUUACUAGAAUUGUUGAUAUCAUUUCAAGGUAAGGUAAUAAUGUAAUUUGUUCAUGUAAAGUCAAUAUAAUCUCAUUAUAACAUUGCUGUUGAUUUUACCUAACGUUUAUAAAUCACAUCAUAAUGGAAAUUAAGUCAUAACUAUAGAACUUUAAAAAAGAAUCAAUAUCUCCUUUUUGUUAUUAAUUAUUUUCAAGGAAAAGAAAAUUUUCUCUAGACUUAUUUAAAAAAUCUUUUUUUUUUCUCUCAUUUAAUGUUGCUGCUGCCUUUGAAUCAUUAAGACAAUUUCCUUGCGGGCCACCAUUCUCUGCUAAGUUCCAUCAGGCUGUAAAAUCCUGUAAACUAAGAGUGUGGUAGAAAUUUUUUUUGUUCUGUUGCUGUUCUCAAAAAAUAAAAAUAAAUAAAUUUCAAAGGUUUAAAAUUACCACCUCUUCUACAAAACAUAAGUACAGAUGUUUUGAAAGUUUCCAAGAGUGACAUGACAAGCACUUGGGUUUGCUUAUUGUUUUUCCAUAUUCUGUAUCAAUGUCUAUGUGCAUAAUUUUAUACAUGCACUCUCUGCUUGUUUCCUGUUGAAUUGAAUUAUAUGAAAUAAACAUUGG
Catharus ustulatus (Swainson's thrush) is the source of this 3531-nucleotide long non-coding RNA. Lineage: Eukaryota; Metazoa; Chordata; Aves; Passeriformes; Turdidae. The record is from Ensembl.